CUCUGAGAAUAGUUAUGUAAGUCCAAGGAGGUCCAGAAUAUGGUGUAGAAGAUUUUAUAUAGGCCAGCUGACUUGGUCUCUGUACACUGGAGGCUUCCUGACUUCUCCUAAUUACAGAAGAUCUGGCACCAUGUGAAUUCUGGCUCUUCUUCAAAUGCAAAAUGAAAAUGAUAAGUAAACAUUUUGAAUCUGUUAAGAACAUGAAGGCAGCCAAGACAGCAGAACAAAAGACAUGAAAAAGAACUUCUAGAACUGCUUCAGAAAGUGACAAGAAUCAUAGAAUAAGUGUGCUUGAAGUGAAGGUGAGUAUUUUGAAGAAAAAUAAUGACAAUGUAUCUUUUACUCUAAUACAUUUUCAACCACACCUUGUAUAUAUACCGUAUACAACCAUAUGACAAGUUACAUACAGAAGCAGAGAUGGUACAUUUUAGUCCUUAUUUCCACUUUCAGUUUCUCAUACCAGAGAAACAGUGGCUAUCAGGAAAUGGGAAGAAAAUGCUCAAAU
Molecule: long non-coding RNA, 505 nt
Organism: Heterocephalus glaber (naked mole-rat)
Lineage: Eukaryota; Metazoa; Chordata; Mammalia; Rodentia; Bathyergidae
Source: Ensembl